AAUGAUGUGCCUGAUUAAAAGGGUUAUCUUGAUAGGGUAAACAAUGUGAUUUAUUCAUCAUCAUUA
RNAcentral lists this transfer RNA (66 nucleotides) under Eremobates cf. palpisetulosus SEM-2008. RNAcentral's name for it is "tRNA-Ile". The record is from RNAcentral. Lineage: Eukaryota; Metazoa; Arthropoda; Arachnida; Solifugae; Eremobatidae.